UCAUUUCUACAGUGAGGAAAGAUAAAAAUUUACAAAAGGUUAAUAAUAAUUAGAUAAAUACAGAUAUAUAUACUUGAAUUUAGUUUACCUUGUGCGCUGGAUUCAUCCACAUAUCACAGAGCUUAUUCCAAUUCGCUGGAGUCAAUUUUGGUGCCUCAAUUUUACGUGCUUCUUUCCCGAGCUUGCACUUGAGAACAGUUUCUUCAGCUUAUAAUGCCACUGCCUGCUUCUAUUCUUUAAUAUAUCCUCACAACUGUCUUUCACAUAAUUCUCAUCCAAAUUUAUUUAAAAUCUCUCCU
RNAcentral lists this long non-coding RNA (299 nucleotides) under Elaeis guineensis (African oil palm). RNAcentral describes it as "long non-coding RNA (EGUI_LNC079614)". The record is from RNAcentral. Lineage: Eukaryota; Viridiplantae; Streptophyta; Magnoliopsida; Arecales; Arecaceae.